This 476-nucleotide ribosomal RNA is filed under the name uncultured bacterium. RNAcentral describes it as "bacterial SSU rRNA". It matches the Rfam family "Bacterial small subunit ribosomal RNA", at positions 28 to 502 of the family's 1533-position model. The record is from RNAcentral.
GAUGAACGCUGGCGGCGUGCUUAACACAUGCAAGUCGAACGAAGCACUUUAUUUGAUUUCCUUCGGGACUGAUUAUUUUGUGACUGAGUGGCGGACGGGUGAGUAACGCGUGGGUAACCUGCCUUGUACAGGGGGAUAACAGUUGGAAACGGCUGCUAAUACCGCAUAAGCGCACGGCAUCGCAUGAUGCAGUGUGAAAAACUCCGGUGGUAUAAGAUGGACCCGCGUUGGAUUAGCUAGUUGGUGAGGUAACGGCCCACCAAGGCGACGAUCCAUAGCCGACCUGAGAGGGUGACCGGCCACAUUGGGACUGAGACACGGCCCAAACUCCUACGGGAGGCAGCAGUGGGGAAUAUUGCACAAUGGGCGAAAGCCUGAUGCAGCGACGCCGCGUGAGCGAAGAAGUAUUUCGGUAUGUAAAGCUCUAUCAGCAGGGAAGAUAAUGACGGUACCUGACUAAGAAGCACCGGCUAAAU